UACGAAGGUCCCAAGCGUUAUCCGGAUUUAUUGGGUUUAAAGGGUGCGUAGGCGGAUUUUUAAGUCAGUGGUGAAAGCCUUCAGCUUAACUGAAGAACUGCCAUUGAUACUGAUGAUCUUGAGUAUGAUUGAGGUGGGCGGAAUGUGUCAUGUAGCGGUGAAAUGCUUAGAUAUGACACAGAACACCGAUUGCGAAGGCAGCUCACUAAGUCAUAACUGACGCUGAUGCACGAAAGCGUGGGGAGCAAACAGG
This 253-nucleotide ribosomal RNA is filed under the name uncultured bacterium. RNAcentral describes it as "partial 16S ribosomal RNA". It matches the Rfam family "Bacterial small subunit ribosomal RNA", at positions 524 to 776 of the family's 1533-position model. The record is from RNAcentral.